This 3219-nucleotide long non-coding RNA is filed under the name Nothobranchius furzeri (turquoise killifish). Its description in RNAcentral is "lncRNA (ENSNFUG00015022131.1)". Lineage: Eukaryota; Metazoa; Chordata; Actinopteri; Cyprinodontiformes; Nothobranchiidae. The record is from RNAcentral.
AUGCAGUCCUCCUCUCAGGCCUCGAAGCCACGGCGUUUUGACGCCAGCAGGCGGAACAUUUCCCAAGCUGGAUCCAAGGUUCAUGGUUCCAGUUUUCAGAGAGAGGAUAAAAACAUGAACACCAUCAACAAGACCUCGCCGAGGAGGAUCACUAAAGCUCCUCCUGCCCCGUCCAUGAUCAGGCCGGGUGUGCAGCCUCGAGCUCCGGCCAUCCAGUCCAGACUGAGCUCGCAAAAACAGGUUUCCAACGUCUCCAGAGGAGCUAAACCCAAACCCAAAAGCGCUCGUGCAACUACUGUAGUCCCAGCUGCAGCCAAAGCAGCACCUCCUCCUCCGCUCCCCAGUGUCCUCCCUCUUGACCCAAACUGCAAUGAGCCCAGCCUCCCGUGUCUGUGCUGCGAUGGACGUUCUCCGCAGGACAACAACAGCAUGUUCAACCACAACCACAACAACAACAACACCAUCUCUCUCAGACAGCAGAUGCAGUUGCCACCUCCUCCAGGCCCCCUAGCCCCGGUGCAAGAUGGGAAGAGGGCUAAGGAGCAGGUCCCGUCGGAGGCCAAGGCCCACAAGGAGCCUCCUGCCAACCUGGAGAAAGCAGCAGAAAAAGCAGGUGAAGGGGCCGACGUGGAUAACAAGAAGAAGGUCGAGGAAGAUGACGAUGAUGAGAGCAGUGGAGAUGUUGCUAUCGAUGAGGCAGACAGUGAUGACGAUGAUGAUGAUGACACUCUGGUGCCGUCCUGCUGUGACUGCCCCCCAUCUCUUUUGGAGUUCUCGCUCUCCUCGUCUUCCUCCUCAUACUCCACUUCCAUCAGCUCCUGCUCCGAUCUGGAUUCCGACUGUGCCGACCAGUCCGCCUCCAUCUGCUCCUCACACGAUCAGGACAAUCUGUUCAUUGCGCUGGACCCCAGGGAACACUGUCUCGAUCCAGUUCCGGAAUUCCAGCUUUCUGCCCGUUCACCUCCUUCUCUUUCUCUUAAUAAAAAUCCGUUCUCCCGAGCUUCCCGCUCUCCAAGUGCCGAUUACUCCCCAGAUGAGGGCUACCCCUCCGCACUCGACUCACCUUCUCCUGACUUCCUAGGACUCAAAGGUGACUCUGAGGUCAACAAGCUAGGUUUGCUUGACUUCCUGGAGUCCGUAGGGGAGUUUGGUAAAAUGGAGCGCUUCAGCCAGGUGAUCCAAGUGGCUCACUGGGAUCUGGAAGGGGAGCAGCACUGGGAUGUUCUGCGGGACCGUUUGGAUCACCUGGAUCGUCUGGAGAAGGUGAACAGGGAGGUUAAGCUUGCCUACAUCGCCAGACUCCAUGAGAAAGGUUUGGACCUUGGAGAUCUGGAGGAGCAGGACCUCACAGACGUCAUGGACGAAAUGGGAAACAUAGACAUUCCCUGGAAGUUGUACAAAAGCCAGAGUGGAACACUGAGGGACUCUCAGGAGUUUUCCGAUGCCGGAGUUGACCUGACUGCUCCGUCGGACUGCGACGAUCCACUUGUUCCUGACUCACCCUCCCCUGAGGAGCCUCCACCUAGACCACCAAAACCACCGGCACGUCAUGCCAGUGUGACCUCUGACCUUCACACCUACAUCCACAUCAGUAGAGAGAGCUCCUCCACAGGCGUCACCGCCUCCCCCACGCUGGUCACCUUCUCCCCUAACUCCUCGUCCCCCACCUUCACCACGUUCAGAUGUGAGAAGCCUCCCCCUUCGUCUCCACCGUCCGUCCCUCCUCUCCCCGCCUCCAAGCCGGUCUCUUACCUCACCCUCUACACCGCUCCUUCUCCACCUCCGCCCAUCGCCGCUCUUAUUCCUCCCAUUCCUCCACCCAGAAAACGGCACCUUGCCAGGAAGGAGGCCCAGCGCCUCGCUGCUCUUCAAGCUGAGCAGGAGAUGACCCCCGUCUCCCUUCCACCACCCACCACACGCCCCCCCCCUCUGCCUCCUCCGCCCGUUAUUUCAGUCACUUCCUCCUCCUCUCCACCUGCAUCACCACACCCACCCACCUUGCCCCCGCCCCCCUCCUUCCACACUUUAGAUGUGGAGAUUCGGAAGCUGCUGAUGCUGGCCGGACUGACCCAGGCGGAGCUGCUCAAGCUCAGCCCUGAGCUGGGCGUCUGUGUUGGGGGGCUGGAGGAGAAGGAAGCCGAUAAUCUUGUUACAUCCAGAUCUCUGGAGUCACGAGAGUUCAGGUUGCAAGACGGAGGGGAGGAGAGUGAACCUGGUGCAGGCCAGUGUGAUGGAACAGCAAAUACAGUCGAGGGAGGUGAAAAGGAGGACGAGAACAGCAGCGCACAAAGAACCACCUCGUUUACUGAGAUGGCGAGAAGAAGGAAGAGGAACACGAGUCUGAUGGCUGACCAUUACUACAGCUCAAGUUUUAGCAAUUCACACAAAGCCAUGAGCAUCGAGGCUUUCCAACGUCCUAAAGAGCUCCCCCCCAGUUCUCCACCGCCACCUCCUCCUCCUCGUCCUUUGCCUCCAAUCCCGCCUUCGCUGUCACCCCCAAAAGCCAGCACUUUACCAGCCAACUCUGAGCAGCCUGAGCGCUUUGAUUGGCUCAUAGCGUUCACACCCGAAGCCCCGCCCCAGCUCUCAGCCGCGGAGAAGAGAAAAUCUCACACGGAAACCCCCAAAAAGCCGACGUCAUCGGGCUCGCCUGCACGUUCCGGUCCAAGAGUCACGACCUUUAAAGAGCUGCGCUUCCGCAACAAGAGCGCCUCCCCUCCGACGAAGGUGAUAACUGAACCCGAGCCCGACCCCGCCAUCGUCACGCCCGAUCCAGACAUCCUCUACAACUUGAAGUGGAGAAGGGAGAAGGCAGGCAGCGAUGGCAGCCAGUGGGAGUACACCUCCCAGGCUCAAGCCCUGUUGAUGCAGCCGCCGCCAGCCCUCACCUCGAUGGCCGCCCUGCAGGAGAUGCUGCAGAGAGCCGACGCCGAGGGCAGGCAGCCUGAGCUGUGCCCGUCACGAGAGAUCUGCGACAGCAGCCUGUGGAGCACAGGCAAGGAGGAGGAGAGAGGAGAAGUUCAACCAGAGGUAAAAGAAGAGGAGACGGUGGAGGUGAGAGGCCAGGCUGACGGAGGGAGAACGCUCGAGUCAAGAACCACGGGUGAGUUUGAGCUUUGUGACGAGUCUUUGACAUUUAUGUUUGUCUUUAGAGGGUUAAUUCAUCCGUAUUUGGAUCCGGCUGCAGAUAGAAAACCAGGCUUGCUUCUUCAGAAAUAA